RNAcentral lists this long non-coding RNA (611 nucleotides) under Cicer arietinum (chickpea). Its description in RNAcentral is "long non-coding RNA (CARI_LNC002904)". Lineage: Eukaryota; Viridiplantae; Streptophyta; Magnoliopsida; Fabales; Fabaceae. The record is from RNAcentral.
AAAAUCAAAAUUUUUUAAAUGAAGCCCAAACAAAAAUUUAAUGGAGUAAAAAAAAAAUAAUAGAGCCAAAAUGUUAAUCAGUACCAAAUAAACCCUUUCCCCCCAAAACCCCUAAAACCUAAAAUGAGUAACAGAUCUUCCCUUUCUCCCCAAAACCCCUAAAACCUAAAAUAAGUAACAACCCUUCUUCUUCUUCUCGCCGUCGACCAACCAAUCCCGCCCAAUCUGUUUGCUUCUCGCCGUCGACCAACCAAUCUCGCCCAAUCUGUUUCCUUCUUCUUCUCGCCUUUCAAUUAAGCUAAAAUCAAAAUUUUUUAAAUGAAGCCCAAACAAAAAUUUAAUGGAGUAAAAAAAAAAUAAUAGAGCCAAAAUGUUAAUCAGUACCAAAUAAACCCUUUCCCCCCAAAACCCCUAAAACCUAAAAUGAGUAAUAGAUCUUCCCUUUCUCCCAAAAACCCCUAAAACCUAAAAUAAGUAAUAGACCUUCUUCUUCUUCUCGCCGUCGACCAACCAAUCCCGCCCAAUCUGUUUGCUUCUCGCCGUCGACCAACCAAUCUCGCCCAAUCUGUUUCCUUCUUCUUCUCGCCGUCGACCACCGUUCUCGUCAUCAC